CCAAUAGCGUAUAUUAAAGUUGUUGCAGUUAAAAAGCUCGUAGUUGAAUUUCGGGAUCAAUGCGUCGGUCGUGCCUUCGGUACGUACUAGCGUCAUCGAUUCCUCCCUUCUGAAGAACCGUGAUGUCAUUAAUUUGGUGUUACGGGGAAUCAGGACUGUUACCUUGAAAAAAUUAGAGUGUUUAAAGCAGGCUAACGCUUGAAUACAUUAGCAUGGAAUAAUGAAAUAGGACGUUCGAACCUAUUUUGUUGGUUUCUAGGAUCGACGUAAUGAUUAAUAGGGAUAGUUGGGGGCAUUAGUAUUCAAUUGUCAGAGGUGAAAUUCUUGGAUUUAUUGAAGACUAACUACUGCGAAAGCAUUUGCCAAGGAUGUUUUCAUUAAUCAAGAACGAAAGUUAGGGGAUCGAAGACGAUCAGAUACCGUCGUAGUCUUAACCAUAAACUAUGCCGACUAGGGAUCGGAUGAUGUUAAUUUUAUAAUGACUCAUUCGGCGCCUUACG
This 500-nucleotide ribosomal RNA is filed under the name uncultured Glomeromycotina. Its description in RNAcentral is "partial small subunit ribosomal RNA". It matches the Rfam family "Eukaryotic small subunit ribosomal RNA", at positions 591 to 1092 of the family's 1831-position model. The record is from RNAcentral. Lineage: Eukaryota; Fungi; Glomeromycota.